Molecule: ribosomal RNA, 680 nt
Filed under: uncultured bacterium
Lineage: Bacteria
Description: bacterial SSU rRNA
Rfam family: Bacterial small subunit ribosomal RNA
Source: RNAcentral
ACUCCUACGGGAGGCAGCAGCAAGGAAUAUUGCGCAAUGGGCGAAAGCCUGACGCAGCGACGUCGCGUGGGGGAUGAAUGUCUUCGGAUUGUAAACCCCUUUUCUCAGGGAAGAAUAAUGACGGUACCUGAGGAAUAAGUCUCGGCUAACUACGUGCCAGCAGCCGCGGUAAUACGUAGGAGGCGAGCGUUAUCCGGAUUUACUGGGCGUAAAGAGGGCGUAGGCGGUCUUAUAAGUCGGAUGUAAAAUCUCCCGGCUCAACUGGGAGGGCGCAUUCGAUACUGUUAGACUUGAGGGCAGCAGAGGAAAGCGGAAUUCCCGGUGUAGUGGUGAAAUGCGUAGAUAUCGGGAGGAACACCAGUGGCGAAGGCGGCUUUCUGGGCUGCAUCUGACGCUGAGGCCCGAAAGCGUGGGGAGCGAACAGGAUUAGAUACCCUGGUAGUCCACGCAGUAAACGAUGGAUACUAGGUAUGGGGAGCAUCGACCCUCUCCNUGCCGUAGCUAACGUGUUAAGUAUCCCGCCUGGGGAGUACGGUCGCAAGAUUAAAACUCAAAGGAAUUGACGGGGGCCCGCACAAGCNNCNNANCGUGUGGUUUAAUUCGAUGCNACGCGAANAACCUUACCAGGGCUUGACAUGUCNGNAAGUANUGAUCCGAAAGGUGAACCANCUGUUAAGUCA